GAUGAACGCUGGCGGCGUGCCUAAUACAUGCAAGUCGAACGAAACUUCUUUAUCACCGAGUGCUUGCACUCACCGAUAAAGAGUUGAGUGGCGAACGGGUGAGUAACACGUGGGCAACCUGCCCAAAAGAGGGGGAUAACACUUGGGAACAGGUGCUAAUACCGCAUAACCAUAGUUACCGCAUGGUAACUAUGUAAAAGGUGGCUAUGCUACCGCUUUUGGAUGGGCCCGCGGCGCAUUAGCUAGUCGGUGGGGUAAAGGCUUACCAAGGCAAUGAUGCGUAGCCGAACUGAGAGGUUGAUCGGCCACAUUGGGACUGAGACACGGCCCAAACUCCUACGGGAGGCAGCAGUAGGGAAUCUUCCACAAUGGGCGAAAGCCUGAUGGAGCAACGCCGCGUGGGUGAAGAAGGUCUUCGGAUCGUAAAACCCUGUUGUUAGAGAAGAAAGUGCGUGAGAGUAACUGUUCACGUUUCGACGGUAUCUAACCAGAAAGCCACGGCUAACUACGUGCCAGCAGCCGCGGUAAUACGUAGGUGGCAAGCGUUAUCCGGAUUUAUUGGGCGUAAAGGGAACGCAGGCGGUCUUUUAAGUCUGAUGUGAAAGCCUUCGGCUUAACCGGAGUAGUGCAUUGGAAACUGGGAGACUUGAGUGCAGAAGAGGAGAGUGGAACUCCAUGUGUAGCGGUGAAAUGCGUAGAUAUAUGGAAGAACACCAGUGGCGAAAGCGGCUCUCUGGUCUGUAACUGACGCUGAGGUUCGAAAGCGUGGGUAGCAAACAGGAUUAGAUACCCUGGUAGUCCACGCCGUAAACGAUGAAUGCUAAGUGUUGGAGGGUUUCCGCCCUUCAGUGCUGCAGCUAACGCAAUAAGCAUUCCGCCUGGGGAGUACGACCGCAAGGUUGAAACUCAAAGGAAUUGGCGGGGGCCCGCACAAGCGGUGGAGCAUGUGGUUUAAUUCGAAGCAACGCGAAGAACCUUACCAGGUCUUGACAUCUUUUGCCAAUCCUAGAGAUAGGACUUUCCCUUCGGGGACAAAAUGACAGGUGGUGCAUGGUUGUCGUCAGCUCGUGUCGUGAGAUGUUGGGUUAAGUCCCGCAACGAGCGCAACCCUUAUUGUUAGUUGCCAGCAUUAAGUUGGGCACUCUAGCAAGACUGCCGGUGACAAACCGGAGGAAGGUGGGGAUGACGUCAAAUCAUCAUGCCCCUUAUGACCUGGGCUACACACGUGCUACAAUGGACGGUACAACGAGUCGCAAGACCGCGAGGUUUAGCAAAUCUCUUAAAGCCGUUCUCAGUUCGGAUUGUAGGCUGCAACUCGCCUACAUGAAGUCGGAAUCGCUAGUAAUCGCGGAUCAGCAUGCCGCGGUGAAUACGUUCCCGGGCCUUGUACACACCGCCCGUCACACCAUGAGAGUUUGUAACACCCAAAGCCGGUGGGGUAACCUUUUGGAGCCAGCCGUCUAAGGUGGGACAGAUGAUUAGGGUG
This 1486-nucleotide ribosomal RNA is filed under the name Ligilactobacillus murinus. RNAcentral describes it as "Lactobacillus murinus partial 16S ribosomal RNA". It matches the Rfam family "Bacterial small subunit ribosomal RNA". Lineage: Bacteria; Bacillati; Bacillota; Bacilli; Lactobacillales; Lactobacillaceae. The record is from RNAcentral.